Molecule: small nucleolar RNA, 131 nt
Filed under: Helianthus annuus (common sunflower)
Lineage: Eukaryota; Viridiplantae; Streptophyta; Magnoliopsida; Asterales; Asteraceae
Source: RNAcentral
AUCCCAGAUAAGCUAAACGAGUUCUUACUCUGAUUCAUGGGAGGCCAAAAUCAAACACAGUGGAAGUUUCGCUGAGAAACCCAUUUUUUAUUCCAAUCGAUGGUGUUUCAUAGUAACUUAUCCAUACAUUU